Molecule: ribosomal RNA, 406 nt
Filed under: uncultured bacterium
Lineage: Bacteria
Description: partial 16S ribosomal RNA
Rfam family: Bacterial small subunit ribosomal RNA
Source: RNAcentral
AUUGAACGCUAGCGGGAUGCUUUACACAUGCAAGUAGAACGAGUGGCGGACGGGUGAGUAAUGUCUGGGAAACUGCCUGAUGGAGGGGGAUAACUACUGGAAACGGUAGCUAAUACCGCAUACCAUCGGAUGUGCCCAGAUGGGAUUAGCUAGUAGGUGGGGUAAAGGCUCACCUAGGCGACGAUCCCUAGCUGGUCUGAGAGGAUGACCAGCCACACUGGAACUUAGACACGGUCCAGACUCCUACGGGAGGCAGCAGUGGGGAAUUUUGGACCAUGGGGGACAGCCUGAUCCAGCCAUCCCGCGUGUAUGAUGAAGGCCUUCGGGUUGUAAAGUACUUUUGGCAGAGAAGCGGUAUCUGCAGAAUAAGCACCGGCUAACUCCGUGCCAGCAGCCGCGGUAAUAC